UGCAGCGACGCCGCGUGAGGGAUGACGGCCUAUCGGGUUGUAAACCUCUUUCAGCAGGGACGAAGCGCAAGUGACGGUACCUGUAGAAGAAGCACCGGCCAACUACGUGCCAGCAGCCGCGGUAAUACGUAGGGUGCGAGCGUUGUCCGGAAUUACUGGGCGUAAAGAGCUCGUAGGUGGUUUGUCGCGUUGUUCGUGAAAACUCACAGCUCAACUGUGGGCGUGCGGGCGAUACGGGCAGACUUGAGUACUGCAGGGGAGACUGGAAUUCCUGGUGUAGCGGUGGAAUGCGCAGAUAUCAGGAGGAACACCGGUGGCGAAGGCGGGUCUCUGGGCAGUAACUGACGCUGAGGAGCGAAAGCGUGGGGAGCGAACAGGAUUAGAUACCCUGGUAGUCCACGCCGUAAACGGUGGGUACUAGGUGUGGGUUUCCUUCCUUGGGAUCCGUGCCGUAGCUAACGCAUUAAGUACCCCGCCUGGGGAGUACGGCCGCAAGGCUAAAACUCAAAGAAAUUGACGGGGGCCCGCACAAGCGGCGGAGCAUGUGGAUUAAUUCGAUGCAACGCGAAGAACCUUACCUGGGUUUGACAUGCACAGGACGCCGGCAGAGAUGUCGGUUCCCUUGUG
RNAcentral lists this ribosomal RNA (627 nucleotides) under Mycobacterium sp. Ri3Pt_4352. Its description in RNAcentral is "bacterial SSU rRNA". It matches the Rfam family "Bacterial small subunit ribosomal RNA", at positions 387 to 1022 of the family's 1533-position model. The record is from RNAcentral. Lineage: Bacteria; Bacillati; Actinomycetota; Actinomycetes; Mycobacteriales; Mycobacteriaceae.